UACGUUGAAGGGGGAGCGUUACUCGUAAGUACUAGGCGUAAAGUGCGGCUAGACUGUCUAAGACUCCACCACUUAAAUCGAAGGUCAACCGGAAUUUUUGUUGGAACCUUAGUACUAGAGAUGGAAAGAAGUGUGCAACACGCAUAACCUAGAGAUAAAAUUCGGAAAGGUUAUGAGGGUUCUCAAGGGCCACGGCAGCAGCAUAUUUUCAUCUGACGUUGAACCGCUAAAGUACGAGUGUCGAAUAGGAUUGGAGACCCUAAUAGUUCGUACCGUGAAUCAAUGGGCAUUACAUGUCAAAAGUCUAUUUUUGGUGUGUCAGCUAACGCGGAAAUGCCUCGCCUGGGGAGUAAGGCUGCAAAGGCAAAACUUAAAGAGAUUGGCGGGAGUUUGUAUGAACGGUGGAGCGUGUGGUUUAAUUCGACAAUCCGCGCGGAAUCUUACCAAUGUAGGAAAUACACUAAAAAGGCAAUGCCUGGCGACUGUUUUUCGAACGGUGUAUUCAAUGGUACUGCAUGGCUGUCGUCAGUUCGUAUUGUAAAAUGUAAUAUUAAGUUAUUUAACGAACGCAACCCUUAUCACAAGUUUCAGGACGUACUGUAAGUUAAAGAUACGAACGAACCUCUAGAAGGUUUGCACGCUUAACUUGGCCGGCCUAUCUUGUGACACUACGAAGUAGAUGAGUCUCGUUUAACGUAAUUGCCCAGGUGGUAAUUAAUAGACACUAUUUGCUUUGUGGAAGUUAGGGAGAAGUCAAGUCAUUAUGGUCUAGAUAUGUUGGGCUACACAUGCGCUACAAAGGUGAAGACAGUGGGACGCGACAGAGAAAUCUAAAGCAAAACCCGAAAAAUCAUCUCAGUUCGAAUUGUAGACUGGAACUCGUUUACAUGAAGUCGGAAUCGUUAGUAAUCGUAAAUCAUGACGUUACGGUGAAUGACAUAUCAAACUUUGCACACACCGCCCAUCACGCCCGGAGAGUCGUGACGGCUUGAAACCUCACUAGUUGCUAGAAAGAUAAUUUAGGGAUAGUGGCUGUAACGCCCCCCCCCGCGGCAGUUCCCCGAUAACCGCCAUUAGGUGGUUUGGAGGUCCGUCACUCAACCCUGAGACGUUUGAGGCGGCUGGGAGCAAGCCUAUUUUGGGAAAUGAAUAGGCCUUGGCUGAGCCAAAGACAGAAUUGGGUUUUCAGAAACCAAGCAAUUGACCUCUGAAGAAAUUAUUUAUUAGUUGGACCGGUCGAGGUUGAGAUCAGCGUAAGUGGUGUUUAAGCUUUUUAAACGCCGACGACUUAAUUUUUCGUAAAUUAAGAUGCAAAAGAGGAGGAUAACCGGGAUGGGCGCUGGCCUGUUAGGAAGUUAAUUUAUUAGCGAGACUAACUCAAACUGGGGAAGUAAUUAUUUACGUUAACCAAUAUGGAAGCAGCUGAAGAAGCAGUGGACAUAUGUUUAUAAUCUUCGAACUCCAAACUAACCGUAGGAGGUGGACAUUAAUGGGCUACAGGUGGGAUCUGAACGAUUAGUGUACCUUAAGCCUCCGUAGGUUCGGUUCUUUAAUGUCUAGCUGUCCGGUAGGUUAGAGACGAUAUGGUAAUUUGGGCGAAGUUG
This 1604-nucleotide ribosomal RNA is filed under the name Favella ehrenbergii. RNAcentral describes it as "partial small subunit ribosomal RNA". The stretch from base 1 to 1098 matches the Rfam family "Bacterial small subunit ribosomal RNA", at positions 524 to 1533 of the family's 1533-position model. The record is from RNAcentral. Lineage: Eukaryota; Ciliophora; Spirotrichea; Tintinnida; Xystonellidae.